CGGUGUUUAACUGGCGUGAUGUGGGACGUCCUACCGGUGGGCUUAGCCUCGCGAGGGGCGGCCCAACUAAUAUCCCGUCGCGGUGCUCUUUACUGAGUGUCGAGUCGGGCCGGUACGUUUACUUUGAACAAAUUAGAGUGCUUAAAGCAGGCUAUCCUCGCCUGAAUACUGCGUGCAUGGAAUAAUGGAAUAGGACCUCGGUUCUAUUUUGUUGGUUUUCGGAACCCCGAGGUAAUGAUUAAUAGGGACAGAUGGGGGCAUUCGUAUUGCGACGUUAGAGGUGAAAUUCUUGGAUCGUCGCAAGACGGACAGAAGCGAAAGCAUUUGCCAAAAAUGUUUUCAUUAAUCAAGAACGAAAGUUAGAGGUUCGAAGGCGAUCAGAUACCGCCCUAGUUCUAACCAUAAACGAUGCCAGCUAGCGAUCCGCCCGAAGUUCCUCCGAUGACUCGGCGGGCAGCUUCCGGGAAACCAAAGCUUUUGGGUUCCGGGGGAAGUAUGGUUGCAAAGCUGAAACUUAAAGGAAUUGACGGAAGGGCACCACCAGGAGUGGAGCCUGCGGCUUAAUUUGACUCAACACGGGAAACCUCACCAGGCCCAGACACCGGAAGGAUUGACAGAUUGAUAGCUCUUUCUUGAUUCGGUGGGUGGUGGUGCAUGGCCGUUCUUAGUUGGUGGAGCGAUUUGUCUGGUUAAUUCCGAUAACGAACGAGACUCUAGCCUGCUAAAUAGGCGUACCUUAUGGUAUCGCGAAGGCCCCCGGCUUCGGCCGGUGGGUUUUUACUACCAACGUACAAACAAAUCUUCUUAGAGGGACAGGCGG
RNAcentral lists this ribosomal RNA (820 nucleotides) under uncultured eukaryote. RNAcentral's name for it is "SSU rRNA". It matches the Rfam family "Eukaryotic small subunit ribosomal RNA", at positions 629 to 1426 of the family's 1831-position model. The record is from RNAcentral.